UAAGACAGAGGGUGCAAACGUUGUUCGGAAUUACUGGGCGUAAAGCGCGUGUAGGCGGCUCGGAAAGUCGGGUGUGAAAGCCCUGGGCUUAACCCAGGAAGUGCACUCGAAACUUCCGAGCUGGAGUCCUGGAGAGGAAGGCGGAAUUCUCGGUGUAGAGGUGAAAUUCGUAGAUAUCGAGAGGAACACCGGUGGCGAAGGCGGCCUUCUGGACAGUGACUGACGCUGAGACGCGAAAGCGUGGGGAGCAAACAGGAUUAGAUACCCUGGUAGUCCACGCCGUAAACGAUGGGUGCUAGGUGUCGCGGGCUUUGACCCCUGCGGUGCCGUAGCUAACGCAUUAAGCACCCCGCCUGGGGAGUACGGCCGCAAGGCUA
RNAcentral lists this ribosomal RNA (377 nucleotides) under uncultured bacterium. Its description in RNAcentral is "bacterial SSU rRNA". It matches the Rfam family "Bacterial small subunit ribosomal RNA", at positions 521 to 896 of the family's 1533-position model. The record is from RNAcentral.